UACGGGGGGUGCGAGCGUUAAUCGGGAUAACUGGGCGUAAAGGGCACGCAGGCGGACUUUUAAGUGAGGUGUGAAAUCCCCGGGCUUAACCUGGGAAUUGCAUUUCAUACUGGGAGUCUAGAGUACUUUAGGGAGGGGUAGGGUUCCACGUGUAGCGGUGAAAUGCGUAGAGACGUGGAGGAAUACCGAAGGCGAAGGCAGCCCCUUGGGAAUGUACUGACGCUCAUGUGCGAAAGCGUGGGGAGCAAACAGG
Molecule: ribosomal RNA, 253 nt
Filed under: uncultured bacterium
Lineage: Bacteria
Description: partial 16S ribosomal RNA
Rfam family: Bacterial small subunit ribosomal RNA
Source: RNAcentral